GGGUGGAGUCGUCGUUGAAAUACCAGUCUGGUCGUGCUGGAUGUCUAACCUGGGUCCGUGAUCCGGAUCAGGGACAGUGUCUGAUGGGUAGUUUAACUGGGGCGGUUGCCUCCUAAAGGGUAACGGAGGCGCCCAAAGGUUCCCUCAGCCUGGUUGGUAAUCAGGUGUUGAGUGUAAGUGCACAAGGGAGCUUGACUGUGAGACCGACGGGUCGAGCAGGGACGAAAGUCGGGACUAGUGAUCCGGCGGUGGCUUGUGGAAGCGCCGUCGCUCAACGGAUAAAAGGUACCCCGGGGAUAACAGGCUGAUCUUCCCCAAGAGUCCAUAUCGACGGGAUGGUUUGGCACCUCGAUGUCGGCUCGUCGCAUCCUGGGGCUGGAGUCGGUCCCAAGGGUUGGGCUGUUCGCCCAUUAAAGCGGUACGCGAGCUGGGUUUAGAACGUCGUGAGACAGUUCGGUCCCUAUCCGCUGCGCGCGCAGGAACAUUGAGAAGGGCUGUCCCUAGUACGAGAGGACCGGGACGGACGAACCUCUGGUGUGCCAGUUGUUCUGCCAAGGGCAUGGCUGGUUGGCUACGUUCGGGAGGGAUAACCGCUGAAAGCAUCUAAGCGGGAAGCCUGCUUCGAGAUGAGUGUUCCCACCCCCUUUGAGGGGUUAAGGCUCCCAGUAGACGACUGGGUUGAUAGGCCGGAUCUGGAAGCCCAGUAAUGGGUGGAGGUGACCGGUACUAAUAGGCCGAGGGCUUGUCCAUAUUU
RNAcentral lists this ribosomal RNA (754 nucleotides) under Streptomyces griseorubiginosus. Its description in RNAcentral is "bacterial LSU rRNA". It matches the Rfam family "Bacterial large subunit ribosomal RNA", at positions 2178 to 2925 of the family's 2925-position model. Lineage: Bacteria; Bacillati; Actinomycetota; Actinomycetes; Kitasatosporales; Streptomycetaceae. The record is from RNAcentral.